AAACCAACAGGGAUUGCCUUAGUAACGGCGAGUGAAGCGGCAAAAGCUCAAAUUUGAAAGCUAGCACCUUCGGUGUUCGCAUUGUAAUUUGAAGAAGGUAUCUUUGGAGUUGGCCCUUGUCUAUGUUUCUUGGAACAGGACGUCAUAGAGGGUGAGAAUCCCGUCUGAUGGGGUGUCCAAUUCUUUGUAAAGUGCUUUCGAAGAGUCGAGUUGUUUGGGAAUGCAGCUCUAAGUGGGUGGUAAAUUCCAUCUAAAGCUAAAUAUUGGCGAGAGACCGAUAGCGAACAAGUACAGUGAUGGAAAGAUGAAAAGAACUUUGAAAAGAGAGUGAAAAAGUACGUGAAAUUGUUGAAAGGGAAGGGCAUUAGAUCAGACUUGGUGUUUUGUGAUUAUCUUCCUCUUGUAGGUUGUGCACUCGCAUUUCACUGGGCCAGCAUCGAUUUGGAUGGUAAGAUAAUGACAUUGGAAUGUGGCUGCCUUCGGGUAGUGUUAUAGCCUUUGUUGAUGUUACCUAUCUGGAUCGAGGACUGCGUCUUUGACUAGGAUGCUGGCGUAAUGAUCUAAUGCCGC
Molecule: ribosomal RNA, 570 nt
Filed under: Wickerhamomyces sp. JCM 16752
Lineage: Eukaryota; Fungi; Ascomycota; Saccharomycetes; Phaffomycetales; Wickerhamomycetaceae
Description: eukaryotic LSU rRNA
Rfam family: Eukaryotic large subunit ribosomal RNA
Source: RNAcentral